Molecule: ribosomal RNA, 207 nt
Filed under: uncultured bacterium
Lineage: Bacteria
Description: partial 16S ribosomal RNA
Rfam family: Bacterial small subunit ribosomal RNA
Source: RNAcentral
CACGUAGGCGGACCAUUAAGUCAGGGGUGAAAUCCCGGGGCUCAACCCCGGAACUGCCUUUGAUACUGGUGGUCUAGAGAUCGAGAGAGGCGAGUGGAAUUCCGAGUGUAGAGGUGAAAUUCGUAGAUAUUCGGAGGAACACCAGUGGCGAAGGCGGCUCGCUGGCUCGAUACUGACGCUGAGGUGCGAAAGCGUGGGGAGCAAACA